CGGACGGGUGAGUAAUGUCUGGGAAACUGCCCGAUGGAGGGGGAUAACUACUGGAAACGGUAGCUAAUACCGCAUAACGUCGCAAGACCAAAGAGGGGGACCUUAGGGCCUCUUGCCAUCGGAUGUGCCCAGAUGGGAUUAGCUAGUAGGUGGGGUAAUGGCUCACCUAGGCGACGAUCCCUAGCUGGUCUGAGAGGAUGACCAGCCACACUGGAACUGAGACACGGCCCAG
Molecule: ribosomal RNA, 232 nt
Filed under: uncultured bacterium
Lineage: Bacteria
Description: partial 16S ribosomal RNA
Rfam family: Bacterial small subunit ribosomal RNA
Source: RNAcentral